AUGGGUUUCCCCUUGACCCCGUUCCAGACGGAGAAGGAGGAGGCGCCGAUCCUCAAGGUCAAGGUGAAGAAGGCCAAGCCGGAGGUCAAGGCCAAGGUGGAGUUGAGGACCCUCACCACGGCGGAGGAGGAGGCGCUCAUCAAGUUCGUGGCGCUGCUGGAGAAGGAGGAGGACUUCCUCGACGCCAAGGCGGAGAAGGAGGCGGGGUGUGGCUCCAAGAGGAAGCCGGAGUUGGAGCGGGACGAGGAGGGGGCAGCGUUCGUGGCGUGGAUCGAGUCCACGAAGCCACCGACAGACCAAGUGGAAUACUCGGAUGGGGAUGUGUCGGACGGCUACGACGACGCGGAAGCCAACAUCGGCAGGGUCAUGUCGCGGUAUGAGCGCCACGUUCAGGCCAACAACGCUCGCUGGCCUUUCUUAAUUGCUGGGGCCCAAAUCAAAUCCCCUGAAGAUGCUGAGCAAUGA
RNAcentral lists this ribosomal RNA (465 nucleotides) under Triticum aestivum (bread wheat). Its description in RNAcentral is "partial small subunit ribosomal RNA". Lineage: Eukaryota; Viridiplantae; Streptophyta; Magnoliopsida; Poales; Poaceae. The record is from RNAcentral.